AGUGAAUGCUGGCGGUAGGCCUAACACAUGCAAGUCGAACGGCAGCACAGUAAGAGCUUGCUCUUACGGGUGGCGAGUGGCGGACGGGUGAGGAAUACAUCGGAAUCUACUUUUUCGUGGGGGAUAGCGUAGGGAAACUUACGCUAAUACCGCAUACGACCUACGGGUGAAAGCAGGGGAUCUUCGGACCUUGCGCGAUUGAAUGAGCCGAUGUCGGAUUAGCUAGUUGGCGGGGUAAAGGCCCACCAAGGCGACGAUCCGUAGCUGGUCUGAGAGGAUGAUCAGCCACACUGGAACUGAGACACGGUCCAGACUCCUACGGGAGGCAGCAAUGGGGAAUAUUGGACAAUGGGCGCAAGCCUGAUCCAGCCAAACCGCGUGGGUGAAGAAGGCCUUCGGGUUGUAAAGCCCUUUUGUUGGGGAAAGAAAAGCAGCAGGUUAAUACCCCGCUGUUCUGACGGUACCCAAAGAAUAAGCACCGGCUAACUUCGUG
RNAcentral lists this ribosomal RNA (493 nucleotides) under uncultured bacterium. Its description in RNAcentral is "partial 16S ribosomal RNA". It matches the Rfam family "Bacterial small subunit ribosomal RNA", at positions 29 to 507 of the family's 1533-position model. The record is from RNAcentral.